RNAcentral lists this ribosomal RNA (229 nucleotides) under uncultured bacterium. RNAcentral describes it as "partial 16S ribosomal RNA". It matches the Rfam family "Bacterial small subunit ribosomal RNA", at positions 99 to 334 of the family's 1533-position model. The record is from RNAcentral.
CGGACGGGUGAGUAAUGUCUGGGAAACUAGCCUGAUGGAGGGGGAUAACUACUGAACGGUAGCUAUACCGCAUAACGUCGCAAGACCAAAGAGGGGACCUUAGGGCCUCUUGCCAUCGGAUGUGCCCAGAUGGGAUUAGCUAGUAGGUGGGGUAACGGCUCACCUAGGCGACGAUCCCUAGCUGGUCUGAGAGGAUGACCAGCCACACUGGAACUGAGACACGGUCCAG